RNAcentral lists this ribosomal RNA (242 nucleotides) under uncultured bacterium. RNAcentral's name for it is "partial 16S ribosomal RNA". It matches the Rfam family "Bacterial small subunit ribosomal RNA", at positions 977 to 1209 of the family's 1533-position model. The record is from RNAcentral.
AGUCCUUGACAUUCUCCGGGCGGUUUCCAGAAAUGGAUUCCUCCUAGCAAUAGGUCGGAGAACAGGUGCUGCAUGGCUGUCGUCAGCUCGUGUCGUGAGAUGUUGGGUUAAGUCCCCGCAACGAGCGCAACCCUCGCCAUUAGUUGCCAUCAUUAAGUUGGGUCGACUCUAGUGGGACGUGCCGGUGAUAAGCCGGAGGAAGGUGGGGAGUGACGUCAAGUCAUCAUGGCCCUUACGGGCCG